GACGAACGCUGGCGGCGUGCUUAACACAUGCAAGUCGAACGGAAAGGCCCCCCUCUUGGUUGGGGUGCUCGAGUGGCGAACGGGUGAGUAACACGUGGGUGAUCUGCCCUGUACUUCGGGAUCAGCUUGGGAAACUUGGUCUAAUACCGGAUAUGACCAUGGUUUAGUGUCUCAUGGUGGCCAGAUUCUUUUUUUUGUGCAUGAUGGGCUCGCGGCCUAUCAGCUUGUUGGUGGGGUAAUGGCCUACCAAGGCGUCGACGGGUAGCCGGCCUGAGAGGGUGGACGGGCAAAUUGGGACUGGGAUACGGCCCAGACGGGUACGGGAGGCAGCAGAGGGGAAUAUUGCACAAUGGGCGCAAGCCUGAUGCAGCGACGGCGCGUGGGGGAUGACGGCAUUCGGGUGGUAAACUCCUUGCGAUAGGGACGAAGCAACGCUUUUUGGGUGGGGUGACGGUACCUUUGUGAAGAAGCACCGGCUAACUACGUG
RNAcentral lists this ribosomal RNA (487 nucleotides) under uncultured bacterium. RNAcentral describes it as "partial 16S ribosomal RNA". It matches the Rfam family "Bacterial small subunit ribosomal RNA", at positions 28 to 507 of the family's 1533-position model. The record is from RNAcentral.